Molecule: ribosomal RNA, 2880 nt
Filed under: human gut metagenome
Description: bacterial LSU rRNA
Rfam family: Bacterial large subunit ribosomal RNA
Source: RNAcentral
UCAAGUGACUAAGUGUAUGUGGUGGAUGCCUUGGCGAUUACAGGCGAUGAAGGACGUGGCAGUCUGCGAAAAACCGAGGGGAGUUGACAACGAACCUUGAUCCUCGGGUCUCCGAAUGAGGAAACUCACCUGCAAAGGUAUCUUUAACUGAAUUCAUAGGUUAAAGAGGCGAACGAAGUGAACUGAAACAUCUAAGUAGCUUCAGGAAAAGAAAUCAACCGAGAUUGCGCUAGUAGCGGCGAGCGAAUGCGCACCAGCCUAAUGAUUGAUAUUAGUAAAGACAGUAGAAAGCUCUGGAAAGUGCUGCUAUAGAGGGUGAUAGCCCCGUAUAUGACAUCUUUGCUAAGGUACUAAGAUCAUGAUAAGUAAAGCGGGACACGUGAUAUCCUGUUUGAAGAAGGGGGGACCAUCCUCCAAGGCUAAAUACUCGUAAUCGACCGAUAGUGAACCAGUACCGUGAGGGAAAGGCGAAAAGAACCCCGGGAGGGGAGUGAAAUAGAUUCUGAAACCGCAUACAUACAAACAGUAGGAGCCCUGCAAGGGGUGACUGCGUACCUUUUGCAUAAUGGGUCAGCGACUUACGUUUAGUAGCGAGCUUAACCGAGUAGGGGAGGCGUAGCGAAAGCGAGUUCGAACAGAGCGUUCAGUUGCUAGGCGUAGACCCGAAACCGGAUGAUCUAUCCAUGACCAGGUUGAAGUUGUGGUAACACACAAUGGAGGACCGAACCGACUAGUGUUGCAAAAUUAGCGGAUGAGUUGUGGAUAGGGGUGAAAGGCUAAACAAAUCCGGAGAUAGCUGGUUCUCCCCGAAAACUAUUGAGGUAGUGCCUCGCGUAUCACUCCAGGGGGUAGAGCACUGUUAUGGCUAGGGGGACAUGGCGUCUUACCAAACCAUGGCAAACUCCGAAUACUUGGAAGUGUGAGCGCGGGAGACAGAGCACCGGGUGCUAACGUCCGGACUCAAAAGGGAAACAACCCAGACCGCCGGCUAAGGUCCCUAAUAUUUGCUAAGUGGAAAACGAGGUGGAAAGGCUAAGACAGUCAGGAAGUUGGCUUAGAAGCAGCCAUCCUUUAAAGAAAGCGUAAUAGCUCACUGAUCGAGUCUUUCUGCGCGGAAGAUGUAACGGGGCUAAGCAAAUAACCGAAGCCGCGGAUUCGUGCCUAAGCACGAGUGGUAGGGGAGCGUUCUGUAAGCCUGCGAAGGUGUGUUGAGAAGCAUGCUGGAGGUAUCAGAAGUGCGAAUGCUGACAUGAGUAACGUUAAAGCGGGUGAAAAGCCCGCUCGCCGUAAGCCCAAGGUUUCCUGCUCUACGUUCAUCGGAGCAGGGUGAGUCGGCCCCUAAGGCCAGGCUGAGAAGCGUAGUCGAUGGGAAGCAGGUUAAUAUUCCUGCACCAUUGUUAAGUAUGCGAUGGGGGGACGGAGUAUGAAAGAUGGUCCGGGUGUUGGAAGUCCCGGUUUGCGAGAGUAGGAUGUCGAUAGGCAAAUCCGUCGACGAAAAUCCGAGUCAAAGCAUCGAUUCUCCAAGUGAGAAGAAGCCAUCGGAAGUGCUCCCAGGAAAAGCCUCUAAGUGGUAGCUUAACAAGACCGUACCGUAAACCGACACUGGUGGGCGAGUUGAAUAUACUAAGGCGCUUGAGAGAACUCGGGAGAAGGAACUCGGCAAAUUGACACCGUAACUUCGGAAGAAGGUGUGCCCUUGUAGUGUGAAAGAAGAAACAUCUGUAGCAUGAAGGGGUCUCAGAGAAUAGGUGGCUGCAACUGUUUACUAAAAACAUAGCACUCUGCAAAGAUGAAAGUCGACGUAUAGGGUGUGAUGCCUGCCCGGUGCUGGAAGAUUAAUUGAUGGGGUGCAAGCUCCUGAUCGAAGUCCCAGUAAACGGCGGCCGUAACUAUAACGGUCCUAAGGUAGCGAAAUUCCUUGUCGGGUAAGUUCCGACCUGCACGAAUGGCAUAAUGAUGGCCACACUGUCUCCUCCCGAGACUCAGUGAAGUUGAAGUGUUUGUGAUGAUGCAAUCUCCCCGCGGCUAGACGGAAAGACCCCAUGAACCUUUACUGUAGCUUUACAUUGGACUGUGAACCGAUUUGUGUAGGAUAGGUGGGAGACUGUGAAACUCGAACGCCAGUUUGAGCGGAGUCGUCCUUGAAAUACCACCCUGAUUUGUUUGCGGUUCUAACCUCGGCCCAUGACCUGGGCUAGGGACCGUGUAUGGUAGGCAGUUUGACUGGGGCGGUCUCCUCCUAAAGGGUAACGGAGGAGUGCGAAGGUACGCUAGGUACGGUCGGAAAUCGUGCUGAUAGUGCAAUGGCAAAAGCGUGCUUGACUGCGAGACCUACAAGUCGAGCAGAUGCGAAAGCAGGUCAUAGUGAUCCGGUGGCUUCUGUAUGGAAGGGCCAUCGCUCAACGGAUAAAAGGUACUCUGGGGAUAACAGGCUGAUACCGCCCAAGAGUUCAUAUCGACGGCGGUGUUUGGCACCUCGAUGUCGGCUCAUCUCAUCCUGGGGCUGUAGUCGGUCCCAAGGGUAUGGCUGUUCGCCAUUUAAAGAGGUACGUGAGCUGGGUUUAAAACGUCGUGAGACAGUUUGGUCCCUAUCUACCGCGGGCGCUGGAAGAUUGACAGGGGCUGCUCCUAGUACGAGAGGACCGGAGUGGACGCACCUCUGGUGUAUCGGUUGUGACGCCAGUCGCAUUGCCGAGUAGCUAUGUGCGGAAGAGAUAACCGCUGAAAGCAUCUAAGCGGGAAACUUGCCUGAAGAUUAGUCUUCCCGGAGGCUUGACCUCCCUGAAGGGUCGUCCGAGACCAGGACGUUGAUAGGCCAGGUGUGGAAGCGCUGUGAGGCGUGAAGCUAACUGGUACUAAUUGCCCGUGCGGCUUGAUCCU